CACAGAUUUACUGGCAAACAGAACCAGGGACUCUUCAGCAGCUCUGUCUGCAAUGGCAGAAAUUGGCGCCGCUGGAUCUCGCAGCGGGGUCAGCCCGCGGCUCCCCGGGGCCGCCUGCCGGGCCCGGCUCCCUCCGGGAUGCUCCAUAAGGAAAGCAACAGCUCCUACGUGUGGCCGGCCGGGAUCAGACCUGGGAAACGCUGUGGUAGCUUAAAAAACCCGAGCUGGAAGAGGCCUGCAGGGAAAAACACCAAACCCAGAUGGCUUCUGGCAGAUGGGAUUAGACCCUGGCAAUCCUUGGGCACAGGAAUAUCAAAUGGUGAACAUCUGUGAUUUGCCCUGGACAUGGGCUGAGAGGAGGAAAUAAAUGGUAUUGCAGCAAAAUCCCUUCCAGGACUUCAGUUUUCAGCACACUGACUUGGACUAAGGCUGCUGGGAGCUGCUCAGGCUGAAGGACAGGAAUCCUGGUAAUACAAGCGUAAGUAUGAGAUUUUGCUGCAAACUAGGCCCUGGGAGGAGGGUUCUUGAAAGUAUAAUCUAUUUUCACCCUUAAGAGCAUGUUUUGAGAUGCUGUGAAGAUGUAGAAACAAGGAGUCUUUUUUCUCUCCAGGAGAGCACGUCUGAAGCAACACAGGAGGUGCUGUGGCAACGUAGUACCAGAUUUUACAUUUUGAAAAGUCCCUCUAAAAGCUGGCAUGAUGCCUGUCUAAAUUAAACACUUUAUGGCAUGUAUCUCCCUGCUGCGAUGUUAGACUAAUCUGAAACAAAGCUAUUCAUGUGGAGGACCUUGGAGGAGACAAUUCAGGUUUGGAAAUCCCAUAAACUUUUUUUUUUUUCUUAGCACAGUGCUAAGUUCAGAACCCAGUCUGCCAUUUGAGGACCAGUUUAAAAGACUUAAUGUAAAAUCCCAUCUCUGUCUCAGCAUGGAAACUAUAUAAUAUUUAUUACUCUGAUAUUGAUCUUUUGUAGCACAACAUGAUUGAAAUUUAAGGCCAUGAACCCUAUUGCUCUUCAAAUGUGCUGGUGCUUCUGAGAAUUUUGGAGGGAUUUCCAGAAGACUUUCAGUUUCCCAACAAGCACUGAAACUAAAUCCCAGCUCCCGUCACCCCAUUGCUUUGGAAGGGAAGUGCGUAAUUAAGAGCUUGUCUUGAAAAAAGAAUCUCAGCCUCAUCUAAACCCCAUUUGACAGCCAAAUGCUGUGCUUCAGACAGAGCACGUGGUGUGUGACAGGCACAGAAGAGCAGGGACACACAAAUGUGCAUUCCAGGUGCCGUGGGGUUCCCUCCUGCUGUCAAACGUGCCACUGGCAGUGCCAGCCUUAGGAUUACUCCUGACAAAAACUUCUCCUCAGCUAAAGAGCUGUGAGGGCAGCUGGUGGGUGGGGGACGCAGCUGAUGUUGACCUUAAAACGAGUGGCAUGUGUUGUGUUGAGGUCGAGGUGGCAGGAUGCCCCCAUGACAUAUUUCUUACAGCUUAGACGCGCCAGAUCGGAUUCCUGUUGACACGUAAAGCCCUUUUCCGCAGCUCUGGCAGUGCUAAGAGCUGGGACAGCCUAAUCUCUUCCUAAGAGCCUCCUGUGCAGUAACCAAAACCCUGGGGUUUUGCAUGGAGAGGUGAGUGUGCUGAUGUAGGGUCUGUGGUGCUCCUUGGCACCAUCCCCUGUGCUUUGUGUCUGCCUCCCUGGUGUCCUGGACACAUCUGUCUUCAAGCAACCAGGGUGGUCUCUCUCCAAGCACUGUGUGGGUGACACGUGGCAGCUCUGUGUGUCCCUACUCCCUCAUCAGCUUCAGAGACGUAGGUCUGGAAGGUGCAAAAGGUACUUGAAGAGUGUGUGCUCAGGAGCCUGGCCCUGC
Molecule: long non-coding RNA, 1853 nt
Organism: Corvus moneduloides (New Caledonian crow)
Lineage: Eukaryota; Metazoa; Chordata; Aves; Passeriformes; Corvidae
Source: Ensembl